Long non-coding RNA from Sitodiplosis mosellana (orange wheat blossom midge), 1109 nucleotides. RefSeq lists it as uncharacterized. The transcript has 3 exons. NCBI's taxonomy places the organism in Eukaryota, Metazoa, Arthropoda, Insecta, Diptera, Cecidomyiidae. The record is from RefSeq and is a predicted model, not a curated record.
UCAUUGCAAUCUUGUCAACUGUAAGAGCAAAGUGUAAAGAACUCGUACCUAUGAGCCUUGAUCGAGUUUGUGGUAGCGAUGGAAAAACUUAUUCAAAUAAAUAUAGGCUUGAGAAUAAGAUUGAGUGUUAAAAAGAGAAGAAUAAUGUGACGAGUGUAGAUUUACAUCUCGUACAUCACUGGAGUUGUUUUAUAUGGGAAAAAUAUGGUAUCGGAACAACAUCUUUUAUUCUUAUCACACUGGGUUUGAUUAUUUUUGGUGUGUGCUGGUGUAAAUUUUAUCCCGCCAUACGCAAUAUUUGGAGAAAGGAAGGACUAUUUUUAACAGCUAUGGCAUAAUCAUCUACCUUAGACUGGCUUCGAUUUUCGAAAAAAAAUGGGAUAGGCUUAAAAAUUUUGCGUCAUGUAGAAUUGUAAAAUAUCGUCUAUCUCCUGUAAAAAACCAUAAAUACCAUUGAAUAGCCAUCCAAAAUAAUCAUAUAUGCAUCGAAUUCACAAAACCAAAUGAUGCAUUUGACACAACAAAUGCAAUUUAAAGUUUAGCAGCAGCACAGCAACAAAUGUAUAAUUUACAAAAUCAAAGGAUGAACUCAACACAACAAAUGCAGUAUCAACAACAACUGCAGAAGCAACAAUCAACUGUAUGAGGCUUAAAACAACGUUGAAUCGCUGGCAAUUGGCUCGAUGAUUAUUAUAUAAUCCCCAUCCCAUCAUAAGACAUACCAACGGCCUUGGUGAGACUCACAACCUUACUAUCCCAAACCGGAAACCAUAUUUACACUAUGGCAAAAGGCAAGGGAAAAACUCCAAGCUAAGUUGAAGAAAGAAUGUAAAAGGAAUUAUUGACAAAGAUACUCACGCUGUUUUUUUAAAAUAAGUAUUACUAUUGGAAAAUAUUUCAAUUUAAAUUAUUUUCAUCCCAGAUUUCAAUUUGUUCUUUGUCAAUUUCAAUUUCUUUAUUCAAUAUAUCAUUGUAUCGAAUUUUGUUGCUUUUAUUUAAAAACGUGUACACAUGUUAAAUUUUCAUAGCUUUUUGACCAGCUUACAUUCUUUAGCUUUCAAUUGAAUAAAAAAAGUACAGCACGCGACUAUAAAACACAUACUGUAUAU